ACGAACGCUGGCGGCAUGGAUUAGGCAUGCAAGUCGAACGGUUACUUACUUGUAGCAAUACAUGUAAGUGAUAGUGGCGCAAGGGUGAGGAACACGUGAGUAAUCUGCCCUCAAGUUGGGAAUAAUUCUGCGAAAGUGGGACUAAUACCGAAUGUUGUUAAUUUGACGCAUGUUGAAUUAACCAAAGAUUUAUCGCUUGAGGAUGAGCUCGCGUCCCAUUAUGCUAGUUGGUGAGGUAACGGCUCACCAAGGCUAUGACGGGUAGGUGGUCUGAGAGGAUGGUCACCCACACUGGGACUGAGAUACUGCCCAGACUCCUACGGGAGGCUGCAGUCGAGAAUCUUCCGCAAUGGGCGAAAGCCUGACGGAGCAAUGCCGCGUGUAGGAUGAAGGCCUUAGGGUCGUAAACUACUGUCACCGGGGAUGAACAAAAUGACAGUACCCGGGGAGGAAGCCACGGCUAACUACGU
Molecule: ribosomal RNA, 470 nt
Filed under: uncultured bacterium
Lineage: Bacteria
Description: bacterial SSU rRNA
Rfam family: Bacterial small subunit ribosomal RNA
Source: RNAcentral